GGGGAACUGCAGUCUUAGCGGGUGGCUGCGCCCAGUGGCAGCUUCUGCAGAGAAAGAGAAACCAGCAGCCAGGCUCCUGGUGCCAGCUUAAGUGACAUGCCCACGUUUAUGAAUUUCCCAACCUGAUCCUCAGUCCAAUACUUCUUAUUUCAAUUAUAAUCAAAAGAGUUACCAUGGCAGUUCUCUUUCAUCCAUGCACUUUGCCAGGUAACUUGCAGGGCCUUCCCAUUAUGGACAGGUGGGCUUCCCUGCCUUUUGGGUUGGACUAAGUGACUUGCUUCAGCCAGAAGAAUAAGGUAGAUGCCAUGUGCACCAGUUCCAAGGCUGGGCCUCAAGAUGCCUGCAUGUUUCUACCUGUGCCCUUGCGCCUCUGCUGCCACCAUGAGAAGCACCUGCCAGCUGGCUUCAGGAAAAGAAUGAUACCCCCUGGAGAAGAGCCAUCCACAGCCAAGUCCAACCUGGGUCUUCAGAGAGAAAAGAAGCCUUAGGGGUACAGACUGCAAGUUAUGAAGUCUCCACCAAGGGGGGAAAAGUAGCAUCUGAACUGUCGCUGUGAAGAAAUUGUUUGCAGAUUCUGAUUCAGCACAUCAGGCCAGGUGUCUGAGCGACUGCAUUUCUCGAAAGCUCCCAGAGAUGUGCUGUGGCUGCUUUGUGUCCCAUCAUCCCCUGAGGAGCAGCUCUGAAUCAGUUCACUCACCAUCUUGGUCCCCACAAUUCCCACAGUUUUGAAAGAAAGCCAAGACCCUGGAACUGUAGCUCUCACAAUUUCUGAUACAUCUAAAUCACCUUGAAGGCUCAUUUUAGAAUGCAAAUUCCAAGGCCUUGACCUGGAAGAUUCUGAUUCACCACUGCUACUUCCCUGCAUGCCUAGACCUAAGCCUGGCUGUAGCACAGCUAUGCCAUCAGGUCCUCCCAGCUCCUGAGCCUGUCCUCCGGCCAUACCCCUUUGCUUGCAAAAAGCCUGAUUUGGUGGCCUUCUUCUCUUUGAAUGUCCUUUGCUGGUUCUCAUGAUUGUCUAGUUUUUUAUCUCUGCUCAGAUGUCUCUUCCUCAGAGGGGUUUUCCCUGACCACAGUCUAAGGUAAUGCUUUCUGCCACAGUCACUGUCCCUGUGCUUUCUUGCCUUCCUUCCCAGUUCCUGUUACUCUCUGGAAUAAUCUUGUCCCUGCAUCUGCUUAUUGGUUUGCUGUCUGUCUUCCAUGGCAACAGGAACUUUACCUGCCUUGUUUUCCACACUGAAUUCUCAGUACCUAGCACAGUGCUGGAGAACUGAAUGAAUGAAUGAAUGCACCCUAGUGGAGAAAGAAGGUGUAAAGUAAACAGUGACAUGAAUUCUGGCCUUGGAAAUUUAAGACUUCAGAGUGAAGCAGAAGUGAGCAUCUCAUGAACAAAGGAUCCUAAGAAUAGAAAAGGAUUCAUCAUGAUUCCUUCAGGGUGUGGAAGAAAAUUAAGUUAGGAAUAGAAGAUGUAGAAUACAAAAUUCAUUGUCCUUCCUCUGUAUUUCAUUUUAAAAUGAUAAAAAUAUAUGUUCCUGGUAGGCAAUUUGGGAAAACAGAAAAAUUUAAGAAAGUAUAUACCACAUUAACUGACCACCCAUGGGUAACUUUGGUUUUCAUUUUUGUGUUUUUCCUUUUAAAUUAUUGUAAAUGUUUUCAAAUAUGUGUGUCUUAUAUACACAUAUAUAUGGCACAUAUACUUUCAUGUUCUGCUCUUUUAUUAUUUCACAUUAUAGGAUGAGCAUAUUCUUGUACCUACAAAGUGCCU
Heterocephalus glaber (naked mole-rat) is the source of this 1762-nucleotide long non-coding RNA. The record is from Ensembl. NCBI's taxonomy places the organism in Eukaryota, Metazoa, Chordata, Mammalia, Rodentia, Bathyergidae.